Molecule: RNA transcript, 1105 nt
Organism: Folsomia candida
Lineage: Eukaryota; Metazoa; Arthropoda; Collembola; Entomobryomorpha; Isotomidae
Gene name: alpha-tocopherol transfer protein
Exons: 7
Source: RefSeq, a predicted model, not a curated record
UAUUAGCAAAUUGGUGUUCCACAUUAAACUUAAAAUCAGCAUUUGAAUAUGUUUAAUAUGGGUUGAUAAGGAUACCUUGAUUAGAAAAUACGGCCGGAGAAAAUUAACGUUAAAUGUGAAAGCUCAAAAAGGUUCAACACACUUGAAAUGUCCUCCUUGCAUGAAGAACAAGGUGAACAGAGACAUGAAUCACUGGACCUGCUCAAAUCUGCAAUCAGAGAGCAUGAUUACCUCUCAAGUUACCAGGAUAUUUUUGAUGAUGCUUUACUAUUAGGAUUCCUUCACGGUAAAAAAUACAAUGUGCCCUCAACUUUGGAUUGUUUAAAGCAAUACAUGUAUGUCCGCACAGAAAAGUACAAAAAGUUCACUAAAACGUAUCUCCUUCCAUCACGCGCAAGCAUAUUGGAUAUUCGAUCAAUGAAUUUCUUGAAACAAAUGGAUCCCCAGAGAAGAACGGUGGUCUACGUGCAGUGUGAUUUGUGGGACGUUAAUGUGCAGUGUUUAUGAAACGAUGGCUUAUCACGCGUUCGUGAUGGAUGAAGCACUUCGAAGCUACUUGGGGGACACGGAAAGCAAUGAGUUUGUCACCAUUUUCAAUUUUGACGGGUGGGUGUUACGUCAAGGACUUCAAUUCACGCCGAGAGUGGCUCUCCAAAUUGUAGACUUUGUUUUGAAAAGUGUUCCAAUUCGACCUGCGGCAUUUCAUUUAGUUAACGCCGGCUCAAUAAUCGAUUUCAUGAUGCGAAUAUUUAAGCAUCUUUUGCCAACAAAGAUACAAAAUCGGAUUUUCAUUGAUUCUAAUUGUGCCCAAUUGCACGAACAUUUGCCACCCGAAAUUUUGCCAAAAUCAUUGGGAGGUGUGUUGGAAAAUGAGGAGGCUUUCCGAACUGAGCUACCUGACAAGAUUCGCAGUCAGGAAGAGUUUUACCAGAAACUAAUCGAAUUUUCGGAUUAAAUUAAUAUUUACUUUUUAUGCAAUUUUGAGUUUUGAUUAGUUCAGUAUUUGCAUACCUAGAAUUGUGAUAACUCAUAUAUAAAUAUUUAUUAUGUACACGUUUACACAUGUCAAAUAUACUAGAAAUACAUACACAUAAUAUACAUGUAA